This 747-nucleotide ribosomal RNA is filed under the name Triticum aestivum (bread wheat). RNAcentral's name for it is "partial small subunit ribosomal RNA". Lineage: Eukaryota; Viridiplantae; Streptophyta; Magnoliopsida; Poales; Poaceae. The record is from RNAcentral.
AUGUCUGAUCAAAGUGACAGUCAGAACAGGUCACAGGAACAUGUGCAGAUGAGUGAGGGCUCAGAUCCCUCUAGCACUUCUGAUGAUGGCAGCAGGAGCACUCCAAGCAACUUGCCAAAGGCAGCCACUAGAUCUAGGAAGAAGAGAACCUCAGAAUCUGAGGAUGAGGACUAUGUGGCCACUGAGGAGGAAGUAAGCUCCAAAAAGAAGGUGCUGAAGAAGAAGUAUGGUACAGCUGCUGCAAGUAAGCCAGGGCUAAACAAGAAGGCACCUGCAAGGAGGAUGCCAAUGUCAAAGCGAAGGAAAGUUGCCACAGGUGAAACUAUGAAGUUCACCAUUGAAUCUGAAGAAGAAGCAGCUGGUGAGGACAAGAAGAAGAAGAGGGCAAGAACUACAAUAGCUAAAGUUCUUGGAAAGUCCUCAAUGGUGAGAUCAGAUGAUGAAGAGGAAGAGGAUGCUGCUCCAGCACCUAAGGCACAGAAGCUCAUGGGAGAUGCUAUAAAGUCAGGGGCUGCUGCUAAGCCCAAAAAUGCUCCCAAAGCUACUGCUCCAGUUCCCAAGACUGCACCCAAGAGGGGUACCAAGAACAUACCUGCUGAGGAGAAGAACAAGGCCCCAGUGCCUGAGACUGAAGAAGAGGAAGCUGAAGCCCAAGUGCUAAGGAAGCUAAAGCCAAAGAUCCAUGACCAUAAUGAUGCACAUCCUGUUGCAGAAGAUAUGAGGAUCAGGAAAAGGAUGCAGGACUAA